CCUACGGGGUGCAGCAGUGGGGAAUAUUGGGCAAUGGGCGCAAGCCUGACCCAGCAACGCCGCGUGAAGGAAGAAGGCUUUCGGGUUGUAAACUUCUUUUCUCAGGGACGAAGCAAGUGACGGUACCUGAGGAAUAAGCCACGGCUAACUACGUGCCAGCAGCCGCGGUAAUACGUAGGUGGCAAGCGUUAUCCGGAUUUACUGGGUGUAAAGGGCGUGUAGGCGGGAAAGCAAGUCAGAUGUGAAAACCCUGGGCUCAACCUGUGGCCUGCAUUUGAAACUGUUUUUCUUGAGUACUGGAGAGGCAGACGGAAUUCCUAGUGUAGCGGUGAAAUGCGUAGAGAUUAGGAGGAACACCAGUGGCGAAGGCGGUCUGCUGGACAGCAACUGACGCUGAGGCGCGAAAGCGUGGGGAGCAAACAGGAUUAGAUACCCGAGUAGUC
Molecule: ribosomal RNA, 443 nt
Filed under: uncultured bacterium
Lineage: Bacteria
Description: partial 16S ribosomal RNA
Rfam family: Bacterial small subunit ribosomal RNA
Source: RNAcentral